CCUACGGGGGGCAGCAGUGAGGAAUAUUGGUCAAUGGGCGAGAGCCUGAACCAGCCAAGUCGCGUGAGGGAAGACGGCCCUAUGGAUUGUAAACCUCUUUUGCCGGGGAGCAAAAAGCGGUACGUGUACCGCAUCGUGAGUACCCGGUGAAAAAGCAUCGGCUAACUCCGUGCCAGCAGCCGCGGUAAUACGGAGGAUCCGAGCGUUAUCCGGAUUUAUUGGGUUUAAAGGGUGCGCAGGCGGCGUGUUAAGUCAGCGGUAAAAUUUCGGGGCUCAACCCCGACAAGCCGUUGAAACUGGCUUGCUUGAGUGGGCGAGAAGUAUGCGGAAUGCGUGGUGUAGCGGUGAAAUGCAUAGAUAUCACGCAGAACUCCGAUUGCGAAGGCAGCAUACCGGCGCCCAACUGACGCUCAGGCACGAAAGCGUGGGUAUCGAACAGGAUUAGAUACCCCAGUAGUC
RNAcentral lists this ribosomal RNA (459 nucleotides) under uncultured bacterium. RNAcentral's name for it is "partial 16S ribosomal RNA". It matches the Rfam family "Bacterial small subunit ribosomal RNA", at positions 338 to 795 of the family's 1533-position model. The record is from RNAcentral.